Molecule: ribosomal RNA, 253 nt
Filed under: uncultured bacterium
Lineage: Bacteria
Description: partial 16S ribosomal RNA
Rfam family: Bacterial small subunit ribosomal RNA
Source: RNAcentral
UACGGGGGGGGCAAGCGUUGUUCGGAAUUACUGGGCGUAAAGGGCUCGUAGGUGGCCAACUAAGUCGGACGUGAAAUCCCUCAGCUUAACCGGGGAACUGCGUCCGAUACUGGAUGGCUUGAGUUUGGGAGAGGGAUGCGGAAUUCCAGGUGUAGCGGUGAAAUGCGUAGAUAUCUGGAGGAACACCGGUGGCGAAGGCGGCAUCCUGGACCAACACUGACGCUGAGGAGCGAAAGCCAGGGGAGCAAACGGG